Molecule: long non-coding RNA, 1017 nt
Filed under: Zea mays
Lineage: Eukaryota; Viridiplantae; Streptophyta; Magnoliopsida; Poales; Poaceae
Description: long non-coding RNA (ZMAY_LNC001973)
Source: RNAcentral
UUCCGACCUCUGUCUAAUGCCAACUACAGAUAGAAAAAACCAAAAUGUCACAAUGACAGUGGCAAUCAAUCCGAAGCCUAGAUCGCCACCCAUGCGUCUGGGAAAAAAACGCUAAGGCCACCCUCAUCAAUAUUUGCGACCCCGUUGCAACUAGGGGCUGAAGUGCUGAACCUCCUCCCUCUAGAGAAUAGCCCAACUCGAAAGCCAAUGUGUUGUCGUAAGGAUAACCUGCAAAGGAGAACAAUAGAUUUUUUUUCUUAAACACUAAAUCAUUUCUACAAAUCCAAAGAGCCCGGCACAAGACCACCGCUCCAAGUAGAAACACAGAUUUUAGUAAUUUAUUACGACCCUGAAGCCAACCCCCAAACAUAUGGUCCACAUUAAGAGGUGGACUAAAGCCGGUUGCCAUCUGUAGAAUGCUCCAGACUGAUCGAGCGAAACGACACUCAAAGAAUAUAUCUAGGUGCAACGACUGAUAAUUUGGAUCGGAGGAAAUAUGUAAUAGCUAAGAGCUCAACUUCUUUGGUCAAAUAGGAUUAAAAAGUUAAGAAGUUUCUUUUCUAUUAUCUGACUUAACUUUGUUCAAAGCUAAACUUGUAGAGUGCUGUGAAGGGAUUAAUGUUAUGAACGAAGGUAAAGAAGAGUCAGAAAACUGUUGCGUGGAUAAGCUGGAGGACAUGGAAGUGGGGAAUUGUCCCACCAGAUGCUGCAAGGAUGCUUCCCAUAGUAAUACUUAAUGUUUUGGAAAGUCAAUUAAAGCAAGUUUGUUAUGUUUUGUUCGUAACAACUAUCUAUCAUGGGGUUUUUUCAGGUUCAGCCUCCAGGAAAAAAGUCGUGCCUAGCAUUUCAGAAAACCAGGCUUGCUGUGCAACCACUUUCUGCAAUGAAAGAUCUUGGGAAACUAAUGCAUGGCGUGCUCGGUUAGUAAAGGCAGUUUGUCAGAAAGAAUCUAUUUUGCCAACGAACACAGAGAAUCCAAUUUUACCUUCUUCCAUAGGAAUUUCAUGUGAUGCAGUA